This is a long non-coding RNA of Corticium candelabrum, 453 nucleotides long. RefSeq lists it as uncharacterized. NCBI's taxonomy places the organism in Eukaryota, Metazoa, Porifera, Homoscleromorpha, Homosclerophorida, Plakinidae. The transcript is spliced from 3 exons. The record is from RefSeq and is a predicted model, not a curated record.
UCACGCGUUCUUGAACAUGCGUAGCUAGUCUAGUCGUUUUCAAUGGAAGGAGCACCUAGUUUUGAAGUGUUCAUUGCGUGACUACGGAAGCCGACUCUCACGUAAUUUGGAUACAAAGAACAAGUUUCGGAAUGUAUUUCACAUGUUAGAGGUGGUUGCUUCAGAUGAGAGAGUUUCUGAUGGAUGAGAGAGUGGUUGUGAUUCACUAACUGUAACACUUCUUGGCUCUGUCAAUAUAGAAAACUAUUCAUCAGCGGACACAAUGUAUUAAACAGCAUGAAUGUUACUUAGCAUUCAACAAUAAGAGAAGUGUUUUGAGAACUUACCCUGAACAAUGAUAUUUUCAAUCUCUUUUCUCUUCGUGGACAGUUCUUGGCAAAUGGCAAACUAAACAAUGAGUGUGAACAAUGUGGGAUACCAGUCUUCGGCUCCAAGGCAUGGGUUACUGUUCAA